UGUGUCAGUUUCUUUCUUACCUCGACUGGGCGUUUUGGCUGUUGGUGACGGUGAUCCGGCGUUGUGGUGUGCUGAUGCGAAUGCUGUCACAGCUGUUAUGGCCUGCAGCGCAACAGUUUAGCGGUGGUUAAUACCCCUAAACCUGCAGCGUCACAAGGCGGCGUCCUGUAUGCACGCGACAUUGCUCUCGGUCCGUGUGCGUCAGGCGGCUGUAUGGCGUCAACAAACUGGCUGAUGUUUCCAGGUUGUGAGGCUGCUAUCUGAUCACACAGUGAGGCUGCUGCUGCUGACAAUGGAAGCAGUAGCUCAGUCCGUGGGGGCUUGGAUUGGGAACUGGCGGGUUGCUGGUUCGAGAACGCCACAGACCAGUCAUAUGCAGUUUGGACUGGUAGCUGGAGAGGUGCCAGUUCAUCUACUGGGCUCUGCAGAAAGUGCACUCGAGCAAGGCCGUGAACCCCUACUUGCUGAGGUGGGGUGACUAGGUGGCAGCCCCCUCACUCUGACAUCUCUCCAUGUGUUAAUGCAUGUGUAAAAUGUAUUAUUAUAACAGUUUAAAAACUAGAGGUAUUAAUAAAGCUGUAUUCUUCUUAUAGGGCUUGACAAUAAAACAAUUGUCAGUAUAUAAUUUCAA
Long non-coding RNA from Micropterus dolomieu (smallmouth bass), 631 nucleotides. RefSeq lists it as uncharacterized. The record is from RefSeq and is a predicted model, not a curated record. The transcript has 3 exons. NCBI's taxonomy places the organism in Eukaryota, Metazoa, Chordata, Actinopteri, Centrarchiformes, Centrarchidae.